Molecule: ribosomal RNA, 854 nt
Filed under: uncultured Bacteroidota bacterium
Lineage: Bacteria; Pseudomonadati; Bacteroidota
Description: bacterial SSU rRNA
Rfam family: Bacterial small subunit ribosomal RNA
Source: RNAcentral
AGAGUUGAUCAUGCUCAGAUGAACGCUAGCGGCAGGCUUAACGCAUGCAGUCGAGGGGCAGCAUGAUCGAACUUCGGUUUGAUUGAUGGCGACCGGCGCAAGGGUGCGUAACGCGUGAGCAACUUGCCUCAUCAGGGGAAUAACCGUGGAAACGACGACUAAUACCCCAUAGCACAUAUUUAAGGCAUCUUUUAUAUGUUAAAGAAUUUCGGAUGAGGAUAGGCUCGCGUGACAUUAGCUAGAUGGCGGGGUAACGGCCCACCAUGGCGACGAUGUCUAGGGGUUCUGAGAGGAAGGUCCCCCACACUGGAACUGAGACACGGUCCAGACUCCUACGGGAGGCAGCAGUGAGGAAUAUUGGUCAAUGGUCUGACGACUGAACCAGCCAUGCCGCGUGAAGGUCACGGCCCUAUGGGUCUUAAACUUCUUUUGUAAGGGAGCAAWAAGWMWCACGUGUGGGAUGAUGAGAGUACCUUACGAAUAAGCAUCGGCUAACUCCGUGCCAGCAGCCGCGGUAAUACGGGGGAUGCGAGCGUUAUCCGGACUUAUUGGGUUUAAAGGGUGCGUAGGCGGCCUGUUAAGUCAGCGGUGAAAUUCAGGGGCUCAACCUCUGCCGUGCCGUUGAUACUGGCGAGCUAGAAUGCGGAUGCCGUUGGAGGAAUGUGUGGUGUAGCGGUGAAAUGCAUAGAUAUCACACAGAACACCGAUUGCGAAGGCAUCUGACGAAUCCGCUAUUGACGCUGAUGCACGAAAGCGUGGGGUUCAAACAGGAUUAGAUACCCUGGUAGUCCACGCCGUAACCGUUUUACUAACCGUCGGCGAUACACUGUCGGUGMCAAGCGAAAGCGAUAAGU